Molecule: ribosomal RNA, 505 nt
Filed under: uncultured bacterium
Lineage: Bacteria
Description: partial 16S ribosomal RNA
Rfam family: Bacterial small subunit ribosomal RNA
Source: RNAcentral
AGUGAACGCUGGCGGUAGGCCUAACACAUGCAAGUCGAACGGCAGCACAGGAGAGCUUGCUCUCUGGGUGGCGAGUGGCGGACGGGUGAGGAAUACAUCGGAAUCUACUCUGUCGUGGGGGAUAACGUAGGGAAACUUACGCUAAUACCGCAUACGACCUACGGGUGAAAGCAGGGGACCUUCGGGCCUUGCGCGAUUGAAUGAGCCGAUGUCGGAUAGCUAGUUGGCGGGGUAAAGGCCCACCAAGGCGACGAUCCGUAGCUGGUCUGAGAGGAUGAUCAGCCACACUGGAACUGAGACACGGUCCAGACUCCUACGGGAGGCAGCAGUGGGGAAUAUUGGACAAUGGGCGCAAGCCUGACCCAGCCAUACCGCGUGGGUGAAGAAGGCCUUCGGGUUGUAAAGCCCUUUUGUUGGGAAAGAAAUCCAGCUGGCUAAUACCCGGUUGGGAUGACGGUACCCAAAGAAUAAGCACCGGCUAACUUCGUGCCAGCCGCCGCAGUAA